AGUAUUGUAUGCUUCUCCUAAAGAUUAAGCCAUGCAUGCCUUCCGGAUAUUUGAGCAAUCUCUGAACCUGCGGACGGCUCCAUAGAACAGUCACAACCAUUGGCAGUGUUGCCCAUUGGUGGGUAUCUUUCCGAUCAUACUCGCGGAAUGGGGAUAUGGACUUCCCCGGCAAUUCUGAGGCUAAUACAUGAAUGUAACCUGGUUGAAGGGGGUAUAUAUCCGAAACUUCCAGGUGGAGCGUGAGGUAUGAUCCGGUGAGAUAACACGAAUGGGCACGCUACCGUUACCUAGUUCAGGCCCUAAUACGACCGGGACAAGUUGAGGAGACGAAGCUAUUGACACUUCCCUGGCUCCUGCUGGGGAGGUCUGUCAGGGUCUAGUCGAAUCAGCGGGUCACAGCUCGGGAUUCUGACCUAUCAACUAGAAUGUGAUGUAACGGCUUGCCAUGGUUGCGACGGGUACAGAGGAUAAGAGUUCGGUCCUGGAGAGUGGGCCUGAGAGAUUGCUCAUACUUCUAAGGAAGGCAGCAGGCGCGCAACGUUCCCAGUGGGCCUCCCACCUGAGGGCGUUAGGGGAAAUAUGAAUGGCCACCUAAUAGGUGACUAAUUCAAAUGGGUCCUGUGUAAACUACAGGA
RNAcentral lists this ribosomal RNA (635 nucleotides) under Stemonitopsis hyperopta. Its description in RNAcentral is "partial small subunit ribosomal RNA". It matches the Rfam family "Eukaryotic small subunit ribosomal RNA", at positions 19 to 537 of the family's 1831-position model. Lineage: Eukaryota; Evosea; Eumycetozoa; Stemonitida; Stemonitidae. The record is from RNAcentral.